CCUACGGGCGGCAGCAGUGGGGGAUAUUGGACAAUGGGGGGAACCCUGAUCCAGCGACGCCGCGUGAGUGAAGAAGUAUCUCGGGAUGUAAAGCUCUAUCAGCAGAGAAGAAGAAAUGACGGUACCUGAGUAAGAAGCUCCGGCUAACUACGUGCCAGCAGCCGCGGUAAUACGGAGGGGGCAAGCGUUAUCCGGAAUUAAUGGGUGUAAAGGGAGCGUAGAUGGUGAUGUAAGUCUGGAGUGAAAGGCGGGGGCCCAACCCCCGGACUGCACUGGAAACUAUGUGACUUGAGUGCAGGAGAGGUGGGCGGAAUUCCUGGUGUAGCGGUGAAAUGCGUAGAUAUUAGGAAGAACACCGAUUGCGAAGGCGGCUCACUGGACUGCAACUGACGUUGAGGCUCGAAAGCGUGGGGAGCAAACAGGAUUAGAUACCCCUGUAGUC
Molecule: ribosomal RNA, 442 nt
Filed under: uncultured bacterium
Lineage: Bacteria
Description: partial 16S ribosomal RNA
Rfam family: Bacterial small subunit ribosomal RNA
Source: RNAcentral